RNAcentral lists this long non-coding RNA (592 nucleotides) under Rattus norvegicus (Norway rat). Its description in RNAcentral is "long non-coding RNA NONRATT015599". The record is from RNAcentral. Lineage: Eukaryota; Metazoa; Chordata; Mammalia; Rodentia; Muridae.
UGGAUGCUUUUUUUUUUCUUUUUCUUUUUUUUCGGAGCUGGGGACCGAACCCAGGGCCUUGCGCUUGCAAGGCAAACGCUCUACCACUGAGCUAAAUCCCCAACCCCCAUGGAUGCUUUUAAAAUACCAUUCUAACUUGAAAAUUGUUGGAAUAGGAAGUGCUGGGUGCAUAUUCAAUAAUCUAAAAGUUGCCCCUCCCCCCUGAGAAAACAGUUUAAACUUCUAUAGCUGGCUCACUGCACGGGGUCAGCCAGUCACAGCGCCAUGGAUGCGCUGGUAAUGAAAUGUUGGGCACGCUGUCCUGAGCCCCCACUCUCUUGGCUGUAAGGCAGCAUGGAGGGUAGUGGGUAGACUACAGCAUGUGGGUGUCCCACAUCUAUGCUCACUGAAUUCAUACUGUCCAGUCCUAAGAACCUGCUGUGACUAGUCCAGCAACCAAAAUGGUGAUGUCAGCGGGGGUGGGUGUUACCUUGAAGCAACAAGAGCUUUAGAGAAGAGGGACAGACUUGAGCAUGUGACAGGCUGGCGGGCAGCAAGCACUGUCACUCUGUAGCCUGAACACACCUGUUUGUUUUUAAAAGAAAGAAAAUAA